AAAUUUUAAUUUAAAAAAAAACAAUUUGAAAAUUAAUUUAUUAGAAAACAAAUAGAUUAAAAACUAUUAUUUACAAAAAUUUAUUUUAUUUUAAAUUAUAUUUUCUAUAAAAAUUCUUAAAAAUAUUUUUUAUAUAUAAAAUCUUAGAUAUUUUACUAUUUUAAUAUUAACUUUAAUUAAUAAUAUAAUAGUCUAAACAUUAAAUUUAAUAUCAAAUUCAAUUGGAAUUUAAAAACUUUUAAAAUUUA
This is a non-coding RNA of Theileria parva strain Muguga, 248 nucleotides long. Lineage: Eukaryota; Apicomplexa; Aconoidasida; Piroplasmida; Theileriidae. The record is from the annotation of a RefSeq genome assembly.